This 760-nucleotide ribosomal RNA is filed under the name Clostridioides difficile. Its description in RNAcentral is "bacterial LSU rRNA". It matches the Rfam family "Bacterial large subunit ribosomal RNA", at positions 555 to 1323 of the family's 2925-position model. Lineage: Bacteria; Bacillati; Bacillota; Clostridia; Peptostreptococcales; Peptostreptococcaceae. The record is from RNAcentral.
ACCCUGCACUUACAAGCUGUGGAAGCACAUUUCUUGUGUGACCGCGUACUUUUUGUAGAACGGGCCAACGAGUUACGUUAAGUAGCAAGGUUAAGCACUUAAGGUGCGGAGCCGUAGCGAAAGCGAGGUUUAACUGAGCGUUCAGUUACUUGACGUAGACCCGAAACCGGGCGACCUACCCAUGAGCAGGAGGAAGCGAAAGUAAAAUUUCGUGGAGGUCCGAACCCACGGGCGUUGAAAAGCUCGGGGAUGACUUGUGGGUAGCGGUGAAAUUCCAAUCGAGCCCGGAGAUAGCUGGUUCUCCCCGAAAUAGCUUUAGGGCUAGCCUCAAGGUGAGAGAUACGGAGGUAGAGCACUGAAUGUCCUAGGGGGUAUUGCACCUACCGAAGACUAUCAAACUCCGAAUGCCGUCAUCUUAUACUUGGGAGUCAGACUGUGGGUGAUAAGAUUCAUAGUCGAAAGGGCAACAGCCCAGAUCGUCAGCUAAGGUCCCUAAAUGUAAGUUAAGUGGUAAAGGAUGUGGGAUUGCACAGACAACCAGGAUGUUGGCUUAGAAGCAGCCACUCAUUCAAAGAGUGCGUAAUAGCUCACUGGUCGAGUGAUCCUGCGCCGAAGAUUUCCGGGGCUAAAACUUACUACCGAAGCUACGGCAUCAGUAAUGAUGGGUAGGGGAGCUUCCCAUACGGGUUGAAGCAUGACCGUAAGGACAUGUGGACAGUAUGGGAGUGAGAAUGUUGGCAUGAGUAGCGAGAUGUGGGUG